UGCCUCAGUAACGGCGAAGUGAAGCGGCAACAGCUCAAAUUUGAAAUCUCCCGACAGGGCGAGUUGUAAUUUGUAGAGGAUGUUUCGGGCACCGUCGCGGGUUAAUUUUCUUGGAACAGAAAGCCAUAGAGGGUGAGAGUCCCGUCUUGGCCCGCGGUAGGACCCAUGUGAAACUCCUUCGACGAGUCGAGUUGUUUGGGAAUGCAGCUCAAAAUGGGUGGUAAAUUUCAUCUAAAGCUAAAUAUUGGCCAGAGACCGAUAGCGCACAAGUAGAGUGAUCGAAAGAUGAAAAGCACUUUGAAAAGAGAGUUAAACAGUAUGUGAAAUUGUUGAAAGGGAAGCGCUUGCAACCAGACUCGAGCGCGGCGGUUCCCCCUGGCUUCUGCCUGGGCUACUCCGUCGCGACCGGGCCAACAUCAGUUCUCGGGGUCGGUUAAAGGUUCGAGGAAUGUACUCACUCCUUCGGGGGUGAACUUAUAGCCUCGUUCGUCAUGCGGCCACCGGGGACUGAGGAACGCGCUUCGGCGAGGAUGUUGGCGUAAUGGUUGUAAGCGACCCGUCUUGAAACACGGACCAAGGAGUCUAACAUCUAUGCGAGUGUUCGGGUGUCAAACCCUUGCGCGUAAUGAAAGUGAACGGAGGUAGGAAGGCGUACGCCUGCACUAUCGACCGAUCCUGAUGUCUUCGGAUGGAUUUGAGUAAGAGCAUAGCUGUUGGGACCCGAAAGAUGGUGAACUAUGCGUGAAUAGGGUGAAGCCAGAGGAAACUCUGGUGGAGGCUCGCAGCGGUUCUGACGUGCAAAUCGAUCGUCAAAUUUGCGUAUAGGGGCGAAAGACUAAUCGAACCAUCUGGUAGCUGGUUCCUGCC
Molecule: ribosomal RNA, 867 nt
Filed under: Pyricularia cf. parasitica CBS 376.54
Lineage: Eukaryota; Fungi; Ascomycota; Sordariomycetes; Magnaporthales; Pyriculariaceae
Description: eukaryotic LSU rRNA
Rfam family: Eukaryotic large subunit ribosomal RNA
Source: RNAcentral